AAUAUAACCAUUGUAGGUAGAGCUGACCAAGUUUUCUCUCUUUAUUUCAGCCCUUUCAGUCUGGCAUGGCAGAAAAACCAAUGAACAUGUCGACAGAAAUGCCUAGCAAUGAAGAUACACACAAGGAAGACAUCCGUUGCUUAACCACCCUUAGCCACUUUGGGUUUGAAUGUUUCCCCACCCAGAUGGUGAACAAAUCCAUCCGGAAAGGAUUUUCUUUCAAUAUUCUCUGCGUGGGAGAAACUGGAAUUGGAAAAUCAACACUGAUCAACACACUGUUCAACACUAAUAUGAAAGAGAGCAAGUCUUCCCAUUUCUACUCCAAGGUCGGACUCAAAGUAAGGACAUUUGAACUUCUGGAAACAAACAUCCCACUGAAAUUGACCGUGGUGAAAACAGUGGGGUACGGUGACCAAAUCAGCAAAGAAGCCAGCUACCAGCCAGUUGUUGACUACAUAGAUGCUCAGUUUGAGCUGUAUCUCCAGGAGGAGCUGAAGAUCAAACGAUCCUUGAGUGACUAUCAGGAUUCUCGCAUCCAUGUGUGUUUCUACUUCAUCUCACCCACCGGACACUCCCUCAAGUCCCUGGACCUGCUGACGAUGAAGAACAUCGACAGAAGGGUGAAUAUCAUACCACUGAUUGCCAAAGCCGACUCGCUUUCCAAAAGCGACCUCCAGAGGUUCAAGAGUAACAUAAUGAGGGAGCUGACCAGCCACGGCAUCCAGAUAUACCAGUUCCCAAUAGAUGAUGAAACCCCGGCACAAGGGCUGUUACCUUUUGCUGUGGUAGGAAGUAUGGAGGAGGUGAAAGUUGGAAAAAGAAUGGUCAGAGGUCGCCAUUACCCUUGGGGAGUUUUGCAAGUGGAAAAUGAAAGUCACUGUGACUUUGUGAAGCUCCGGGAUUUGCUUCUGUCUACUAACAUGGAGGAUCUGAAGGACCAAACCCACGUUCAACAUUACGAAUGUUAUAGGAGAAGCAGACUGCAGAAACUUGGCUUCAACGACACGGGCCGAAACAAUCAGCCAGUGAGUUUCCAAGAGAUGUAUGAAGCCAAGAGACAAGAGUUCCAGGCUCAGUGUCAGAGGGAGGAGGAGGAACUGAAGCACAUGUUUAUGCAGCGAGUUAAGGAGAAGGAGCUGACCUUUAAGGAUGCCGAAAAGGAGGCAUCUGCAGGACAAAUUUGAACACCUGAAGAGAAUCCAACAAGAGGAGAUCCUGAAGCUGGAAGAAGAGAGACGGAAGUUAGAAGAGCAAAUCAUCGAUUUUUACAGGAUGAGGGCUGCCUCGGAUCCGCCACAGACUCCGGCGUGCACCAAUGUAAAGAAGGACAAAGAUCGAUAAUGAAGGCAUCCAGCUAAGGAAUCUGCCACUGGACAAAUGACACAGGUGAAGAAUAAGGACAAAUCAUCCAGAAAAAAUGUCCUAAGAAAAAGAGUAAAUUUGCCUAUUGGUAUAUCACAUCUCCAACAGGAUAAAAUUUCAUAAAUCUUCCCAAAUGUUUGUUUCUGCUGUUCUCUACAGACACUAAUGCAAAUGGUCUUUUUGUAGUCUAAGUCUGAUUAAUAAAUUAAAGCUGGCUUUGGA
Peromyscus eremicus (cactus mouse) is the source of this 1584-nucleotide RNA transcript. It is a transcript of the gene named septin 14, with no coding region annotated. Lineage: Eukaryota; Metazoa; Chordata; Mammalia; Rodentia; Cricetidae. The record is from RefSeq and is a predicted model, not a curated record. The transcript is spliced from 10 exons.